CCACCCACAGGGUGCUCCCCACGCCUUCAUGUUUAGCCAGAGGAUUACCCAUUAUUUUGUUAAACAUUCCUUUUUGGUUACAAAAGACUUUUUUUUUUAACUGUAUGGAAAUAUUAAUAUUCAAAUACUGCGCCUUUUGAAUAAGUUUUAGGGCACUGAAUAAAAGGCUCUUCAACUUGGCCACUUAAAGGGGAUUGAGCCAGAUGGUAGUUUAAGAAUUCCACAGUUCUGUUCUUUUUGCCUCAUCGUAGCCCAUCAUACUCUGUUUGCUUUCAGAUUAGUCCCCUUUUACUGUUCUACUUAUUUAUUCGAUGACUGAAACUAUCACGAUUCACUGCCCAUCAUAUUUCUAACUAUUCUUUAUGUAAUUUGGAAGCAAUUUAGAAUAAAGCCCUGUCAAGGUUUUACAAAUAAGAACUAUUAAAGAGUAAAGCUUUGGAUACUUGC
This 447-nucleotide long non-coding RNA is filed under the name Pongo abelii (Sumatran orangutan). RNAcentral describes it as "lincRNA". The record is from RNAcentral. Lineage: Eukaryota; Metazoa; Chordata; Mammalia; Primates; Hominidae.